Pristis pectinata (smalltooth sawfish) is the source of this 7078-nucleotide RNA transcript. It is a transcript of the gene named RIC1 homolog, RAB6A GEF complex partner 1, with no coding region annotated. NCBI's taxonomy places the organism in Eukaryota, Metazoa, Chordata, Chondrichthyes, Rhinopristiformes, Pristidae. The record is from RefSeq and is a predicted model, not a curated record. The transcript is spliced from 27 exons.
GUCGUGUCACCAGUCGGAGGUAAGAUGGCGGGCGGCAGGCAGCCGGGGCCAGCGGGUGUGAAUGGUGAGCGGCUGGGGGCCGCUGCUACCGCAGCCGGCCGUGAGUGAGGCAGCCGCGCUCGCAGCUCGUCGUCUUGUUUGUCCGCUCCCGGCGCUGUCAGCAAGGACUGGAGUCCCCCCGCGCCAGGAGCCUGCGCCAGAUCUUUGUGGUGGCGACCGGGCCAGAGCCGGCGGCUCCCCGCGGACAUGUAUUUCCUGAGCGGAUGGCCCCGGAGGCUCCUGUGUCCGCUCAGGGGCUCCGAGAAACCCUUCUACAUCCAACCCGACUCUCGGAGACUGGUGUUCGCGCUCUUAUCGCAGAGCCAGAUCAGCCUGUGGUAUGGCAGGCCCAGUGUUUUAAUUGUAAGCUACAAGGAAUCUGCAAAGGCAGCUUCACAGUUUGGAUCAUAUGAAAAAAGUGAAUGGAAGUCCGAUAGUAGUAUGAUCGCUGUCGCGACUAAAAAUGGAUACAUCUUGCUCUUUGACAUUGUGUAUUCAGGACAAGAGAAAUACUUAUAUGAACCAGUGUAUCCCAAAGGAAAUCCAAGAGUGAAAGUAACUACUGCUUACAAGGAGGAACAAUGUGCUCCAUCCAUAACUGUAGAGAUGAAGAAGGUGCUUGAUUUCCAAGCACAAAUCACAAGUUUGCAGUCAAUGCAGGAUGAUUUGGUAAUCGCUACCAAUGAUGGGAUACUCCAUCUUAUUCACUGGGAUGGUUUAACAAAUGGAAGGAAAGCCAUUAACCUUUGUUCUGUUCCAUUUUCUGUGGACCUACAGUCGUCACGGGGUCCUUCAUUAGAUUUUGAGUUUGUAUGUAUCCGGGAUAUGGAAUACUGUGCAACCCUUGAUGGUUUUGCUGUGGUUUUUGAUGAUGGCCGGAUUGGUUUCAUUACUCCUGUGUCCAGUAAACUUGCAGCUGAGGAUUUUCAUGGUGUAUGGGCGCAAGAGGUUACUGAUGGUACUUGUGUGGCUAUUAACAACAAGUACAAAUUGAUGGCAUUUGGCUGUGCAAAUGGUUCUGUUUUAGUUUACACAAUGGAUACAACUACAGGAAGCAUGCAACUAUCGCACAAGUUGGAAUUAACUCCAAAACAUUAUCCUGACAUUUGGAACAAAACAGGGGCUGUGAAAUUGGUCAAAUGGUCACCUGAUUGGAGUGUUGCUAUGGUUACAUGGGAUUGCGGAGGCUUAUCCUUGUGGAGUGUUUUUGGUGCUCAUCUAUUUUGCACAUUAGGUGGAGAUUUUGCGCAUUAUUCUGAUGGCACAAAAAAGGAGCCCAUUAAAAUCAGCUCUAUGAGCUGGGGUGCUGAAGGCUACCACCUUUGGGCAAUUUCCAGUGAUAACACUCAACAAGUAAAAAGUGACCUGGAAAAUGAAAGUGUGAUACAGCAAGCAGAAAUUCUUCAAUUCCAGUUCAUCAAAAGUGCUCUAACAGUCAAUCCCUGCAUGAAUAACCAGGAGCAAGUACUCCUGCAAGGGGAGGAUCGUCUUUAUUUGAAUUGCGGUGAUGCAUUGCAGAAUCAGAAUUCAAGUACCGCUUCAGCAAAUUCAGGCCACCAGCCAGUCAGGGAAAAGAACCCUCUUUCAGAUGACAUUCUAAUUCCUCAGGAUUUAAGCACUUUAUUAGGACACAGGCACUGGCAUAUUGUACAGAUCCACAGUACCUAUCUAGAAAGUAACUGGCCUAUAAAGUUCGCAGCAAUAGAUCGUCUGGGUCAGUGUGUUGCCGUGGCAGGCAAAUAUGGAAUUGCACACUACGCUUUGUUUACAAGAAAAUGGAAACUUUUUGGAAAUAUUACACAGGAACAAAAUAUGGCAGUGACUGGUGGUUUAGCAUGGUGGAAUGAUUUCAUUGUUUUAGCCUGUUAUAAUUUGAUUGACCAACAAGAGGAGCUGAGACUUUAUCUCCGAUCAUCCAAUUUGGACAAUGUUUUUGCUCAUAUUACCAAAGUACAGGCGGAGACUUUAUUAAUAAAUGUCUUCAGGGACAUGGUGAUAUUGUUCAGGGCAGACUGCUCUAUCUGCUUAUACAGUAUUGAUCGGAAUGAUAAUGGCCCUAAUCCCACUGCCAGUGUUCAGAUUCUGCAAGAAGUAUCUAUGUCACGUUACAUCCCACACCCUUCUCUUGUGGUAUCAAUAACUUUGACUUCUGUGAGAACAGAGACUGGCAUCACCUUGAAAAUGCCACAACAGGCCUGUGCCGCAGAGAGCAUUAUGCUUAAUUUAGCAGGUCAGCUUAUCAUGCUACAAAGGGAUCGAUCUGGUCCUCAGGUACGAGAGAAGGACAGUAUUUCCAAACAAAAGAAGCUGCUCCCAUUCUGUGCUCCUGUUGUACUUGCGCAGUGUGUUGAAAAUGUGUGGACAACCUGCCGAUCCAACAAACACAAGCGUCAUUUGCUCGAAGCUCUCUGGCUCAGUUGUGGAGAAGCAGGAAUGAAAGUUUGGCUUCCUCUUUUUCCUCGUGAUAAUCGCAAACCACAUUCCUUCCUAUCCAGACGGAUCAUGUUGCCAUUCCAAAUCAAUAUCUAUCCCUUGGCUGUUCUAUUUGAAGACGCCCUUGUGCUUGGUGCAGUGAAUGAAACUGUGCUCUACGAUAACUUAUAUGUACAUAACAGUGAAAAAGAACCUUUGGAAGUCCUAUUCCCUUUUUGUACUGUUGAGAGGACUUCCCAAAUCUACCUCCACCAUAUUCUUCGCCAGCUUCUCGUCAGGAACCUUGGUGAACAGGCUCUGCUCUUAGCUCAGUCCUGUGCCACAUUACCAUAUUUCCCUCAUGUACUAGAACUGAUGCUUCACGAAGUAUUGGAAGAAGAAGCUACCUCCCGGGAACCUAUUCCUGAUCCACUGCUUCCAACUGUGGCAAAGUUCAUUACUGAAUUCCCUCUUUUUCUGCAGACAGUAGUUCAUUGUGCUAGAAAGACUGAAUAUGCCUUGUGGAAUUACCUGUUUGCUGCUGUGGGCAAUCCUAAAGAUCUGUUUGAGGAGUGUUUGCUGGCACAAGAUUUGGACACUGCUGCAUCUUAUCUCAUCAUCCUACAGAACAUGGAGGUCCCUGCAGUUAGCAGACAGCAUGCAACACUGCUUUUCAACACAGCCCUAGAACAAGGAAAAUGGGAUCUUUGCCGUCACAUGAUCCGUUUCUUGAAAGCCAUUGGAGCUGGAGAGUUAGAAACUCCUCCACCCACUCCUACCACUCAGGAACCCAGCUCAGCUGGUGGUUUUGAGUUCUUCAAACAUAGGAGUAUUAGUUUUUCACAGUCAACAGAAGGGCUCAGUACUGGCAAAUUUAACCUGCAGAAGACACUAAGCAUGCCUUCGGGGCCUUCAGCUAAAAGGUGGAGCAAAGAUGUUGAUAGUGCUGAGAAUAUGUACAUAGAUGAGAUGCUUUGGCGUCAUGCACGGAGACUCUUGGAAGAGAUGAGGUUAAAAGAUCUGAGCAGUUUUGCUGCACAGCUGGGUUUUGAGCUCAUUGGCUGGCUCUGCAAAGAAAGGACUCGAGCAGCACGAGUUGAGGACUUUGUAAAGGCUUUAAAAAGACUCCAUAAGGACUUCCUUUGGCCAUUUCCUGUUAUUCCUUCCUGCUCCUUAGUAAGCUCACCGUUCAAAAAUGGUAAAUACAAAACAGUUGGAGAUCAGUUUCUUAAGCCACAAUCAACUGAGACAUUUGCAAACAGUGAGUUGGAGAGUGGAAUCAUAAAUACACGUGGUAGUCACAUCUGCCUUGGUCUAAAUACUGCAGACAGAGAGAUGGAUUCUGGCUCAUUGCAGGGACCACAGACACAGGAUGCAAUUCUCUCACCAUUACUUUCUAAAGGUGACGAAUGCAGUAUUGGGUCGGCUACUGAUCUCACAGAAACCAGUUCAAUGGUGGAUGGUGACUGGACAAUGGUAGACGAGAAUUUUUCCACACUCAGCCUCACGCAGUCUGAGCUAGAGUAUAUAUCAAUGGAGUUGGCCAAUAAAGGCCCUUGUAAGUCACAGGUUCAGUUAAGGUAUCUGCUCCACAUCUUUUUGGAAGCUGGUUGUUUGGAGUGGUGUACAGUCACAGCACUCAUCCUCCGAGAUUCUGCAGUAAUAGGUCAAAUAAUCAAUUCAAUCCAACACUCUGAGAUUUCCAAGGAUAUUUUGCAGGGUAUUAAAGAUGGGAUGCUCGCUGUGGAUGGAUGGGCUUCAUCAGACUGCCCUGGAUACAAGCCAUUUCUGAAUCGCAUAAAGCCUCAGCUGCAAAAGUUGAAUGAGGUCACAGAGGAGCAGAUUCAGCCCGAAGCUUUUCAGCCUUCGAGUCGUCUGAGCAUAUCAAAGGCAGUGGAGCCCCCCAACCCUUGGUCAGAGGACAGUAGAAACACUGUGAGUCAUGUUAACAGUAGCCAGAAUGACAGUGGCAGUGGUAUCAGCAGGCAGGAAGAUGAUGGCCAGGGAGAGGAGGAAGAGGAACCACUCGUGGAUGAGGGGAGUUAUGAGUGUUCUCUGUCAUGAAUAGCUAUUCUUCAGACAGCUGUAGUCCAAACUUUAAGAAUGCAAAUGAAUCAUUGGUGCCUUCCAUCAGUGUUGUGCACAUGGCUUAUGUAUUAAAGGGGAAUUGUCUCUCACUUACAGAAAUGUCCAAAACCAGUUCGGAACAAAAUGUCAUCCUUUCGUUUCAUAAAAUCAAACUAGUGACAUCUUGAUUAUUGAAAUAGACUGCUGAUGUGCAACAUUAUCUCUGGUGAGGGAUCCAUUCUUAAACAUCUGUGCUCCCAGUGCAUCAUGCAAUGCACAAGGUGCAAGAUACUGUGGAGAAAAUACAUGAAUUGUAAAUAAAGACAAUUUUAUGAAAGUAACAUCUUUCCAAAGGCCAGUAUUUCUGGAUUGGAACUUGACUCUGUAGCACCAGUGCCUUUUGAAAGAUGUGUUUUAAUACUGCCUUAGUUUAGGCAUAAGGGUGGUGAGUCUUGUAAUGGUGCUCCAACUUCAGAAGUAUUCCAAAUUCUAUUAUUUUUGUUGUUCUUGAUCCAGGGAGCAUAAAGAAAUAGUGCUGUACAAACUGAACAUGAUCCAGGUCAAGGAGCAGGUUUCAGGCACAGAUUUAUUCAUUGCCAUAUUUUGAGAUAUGAAUUGCGUGUAUACUUGUCCAUAUUUUCCUAGAAAUUUUCUAAGCCAUCUGCAAGUAAUACAGGGAUCACAGGAAAACUAAUUCCACAAAGUCUCUUGCAUUUUACUCUGUAGCACUCUGGUUUAAUCAAGAUGAAGGAUUUGUCAAAGAUUAUCUGCUUCCAAUUUAAAAAUCAGGAGGGGAAAAUCAUAAAUUUUGUUUAAAAACGAAAUUCUUAAUAAGGACAGUAUUUUAACUACAAUUAAAAAGGGUUCCAAUUCUCCCUUGUAUCUGUUUCUCUUCCUGGCAACACAACCCUUAAAUGACUCAAAAGUGAGAUGUUUGAUAUUUUUAAAUACAACAGGGAACAAUACUCUUUAAUUUCCACUGUAUUACCAUAGGCUCUAGAUGCAAGGGUGUAUUUUGAUCAUUAACUUUCAUCUUGAAUAAUCUCAAAUUGGCAAUUAAAUUGAGCUGCCUGCCAUAAUUCUCCAUAGGUUACUAUUUGAUUUAGCCUCAACUAUAAUUAUAGUGGUCCAACAACCAAUCAGUAAUUAAGCUCUGAAGAGAGAUCAGUAGAGUCUCUUUUGUUUCAAUACUCCAUAAGAACACUGGAGAUUGACCAGGCACUGGAAUUGGAGGGCCAGGAUCUCUUCCUUCACUAACAUCCAAAUUUAACAAGAUUAAUUAUACCUACCUGGAAGAUCUGCAAAGCCAAACAUCUAUUGUACAAAAUGUGAUAGUUUAAAAUUACCCUUUUUCUAUUAGUGCUGAGUUACUUUCUGGGUGUCAAGAUCUUGCACAAAUCAUGCUGUUUGGUUCCACAAUCACUGGAUAUUUCAAUAUCACAAAUCACUGGUUGUCAGAAAACCCCAUCACAAUUUUUGAAGCAAAAGACAUGUGCAUGAUGCGUGAAUGAGGCUCUGUGUUCAACUCUGAAACCUGUGUUGGUGCUUAAGGAAUUGAUCUUCUGCCCUCAAGUAUUUUAUACAGAACUUUUUCUAAAAUGAAGUGCAUUUCAGAUUUUGUUCAAAGCAUAAUCAUUAACCAAACUGCUCAUACAGCUGUUUAUAUUGUACAGUGUUUGCGCAUGUGUUGCAUGAGCAUUUGGUAGCUCAAAUAUUAAACUGUGAUGCUGUUUGAAUUUGGUACCCUAUUGUAAGAUCUGUGUGAGAUUUGAGUUGUAAAAUAAAUACCAUUGCUUUGUAGAAGGGAGGAGCUGGAAAAGAUCAUUUAUGAAAAUUAUCAGAAGACUGUUUCAACAGGUUUGUGUUUAGAAAUGCCUUUAUUUAUUGCUUUCCCCAAAACUUAAGCUAUGUUCUAGAUGCAAAAAGUAUUUUUAUGUAAAUAAAAUAAAGCUAUGUAAUCAUGUUUUUUAUACUUGGUUAGGUUCUAGCAAGGUGUAAAAUAUGAACAGCAACAUUCUUUUAAUAGCUUUUAAUAAAAGCUGUCAUAACUAAAGCUUGAUUAUGAUAUUGAUCCACUUUCAAGGGGAGUAAACCCACCCAUUAAUUUCCUACUCUGAACAAAGUGCUGCCAUGUAUAAUCUUGUGUAGUGGUACUAUCUAUAUACCCAUUUCCUUGCAUCUGAAUGCAGAAGUAAAAUGUACCUGAAGCAGUAUUAAGAGACUAAGAUAGCAUAUAUUUGUUACUGUGCAAUUUGAACAAAAAAAUGCAAAAGGUUGCUUAUUUUAUACAACAAUAUUGAGUAGUCUAUUUUUAUAGCUAAACUGAAUUUAAUUGAAUUUUGAUGUGGACCAAAUUGGUAAUCUAGCCCUAAAUAAUUAGUAUAUUAAUUCUCAAAGACAUGUUGGCCCUGUAGGAUAAUAAUGGAUAGAACAAUUAAUUAAAUGCAAUAUUUCCUUUAAAAGGGAUUUUAAACAUUAUUUUGUUGAAUGCUCAGAGGAGUGCAGAGAGUGAAUGAGUGAGUUGAGAUUGGAUUCAUGUUGCACAUGUAUCAUACAAUAA